Molecule: ribosomal RNA, 468 nt
Filed under: uncultured bacterium
Lineage: Bacteria
Description: partial 16S ribosomal RNA
Rfam family: Bacterial small subunit ribosomal RNA
Source: RNAcentral
GACGAACGCUGGCGGCGUGCUUAACACAUGCAAGUCGAACGGAAAGGCCCUGCUUUUGUGGGGUGCUCGAGUGGCGAACGGGUGAGUAACACGUGAGUAACCUGCCCUUGACUUUGGGAUAACUUCAGGAAACUGGGGCUAAUACCGGAUAGGAGCCCCUGCUGCAUGGUGGGGGUUGGAAAGUUUCGGCGGUUGGGGAUGGACUCGCGGCUUAUCAGCUUGUUGGUGGGGUAGUGGCUUACCAAGGCUUUGACGGGUAGCCGGCCUGAGAGGGUGACCGGCCACAGUGGGACUGAGAUACGGCCCAGACUCCUACGGGAGACAGCAGUGGGGAAUAUUGCACAAUGGGCGGAAGCCUGAUGCAGCAACGCCGCGUGCGGGAUGACGGCCUUCGGGUUGUAAACCGCUUUCGCCUGUGACGAAGCGUGAGUGACGGUAAUGGGUAAAGAAGCACCGGCUAACUACGUG